AACCAAAUGAAGGAUGAUCUGGAUGAAGCCACGUGGUUCUGACCAAGCACGUCGAACGGUGCUGAUGGAGAAAUACCAUAAGGAAUGGCUGAGAUGGCUUGAUUUCCUCCAACGGCUAUGAUGUUAGCCAGACCCAACAUAAAAGGAGAGACGGGUUGCGAGGGAGACACAGGAGGGAGAGGAGAGUGAGAGUAGAGAAUAUAAUCGAAGGGAACAUAGACAAAGGACUUAAAGGAAGAUUUAAGAGGACAUCCCUCAUCUAAAGUCGGCAAAGAGGAAAAGUCUGAGAGAACAAUUGCUGCAACGAACACAAAUGGAAGCUAGAGGUGAGACGAAUUU
Molecule: long non-coding RNA, 339 nt
Filed under: Carica papaya (papaya)
Lineage: Eukaryota; Viridiplantae; Streptophyta; Magnoliopsida; Brassicales; Caricaceae
Description: long non-coding RNA (CPAP_LNC001780)
Source: RNAcentral